RNAcentral lists this long non-coding RNA (831 nucleotides) under Homo sapiens (human). RNAcentral's name for it is "HSALNT0301077". Lineage: Eukaryota; Metazoa; Chordata; Mammalia; Primates; Hominidae. The record is from RNAcentral.
AUGGUGGAAGGAUCCAGCUAUGUCAUAAUGCAGGGAAGGAGAAUUUCAGGCGGAAGGAACCAUAAAUGUAAGGCCCAUUGGUUGGCUUAAGGGUAGUGUGUUCUAUCUGCAAAAGGCGACCUCCCUGAUUAGAUCAUCACAAGUGAUGGGGGAAGGUGGGAAGACUCCAAGAAAAAAAGUAGGUGGUACAGACUGGACAUAAUUGUUAAGAGGAAGAAAGAAGAGAAGGAAUAGAAUCAAACCAGAGAGACAGGACCCAUACUGGCUUAAAAGGCUAAUUUUGUCAAAGUAUCUUGAAGCUGUAUUUACUUCAGUGUUGAUCCACAAGCACUCUCUCAGCCUCCAGAUAGAGUUGCUGGCUAUGGCUUUGUGAGUAAAAGCAACUGAAAGAGAAAUCCGUUCUGAUUCUAAAUAUGCAUCAAAGUGGCGAGACCCAGACCAUCUUAUCUAUUUAAAUGGAAGAUCGUUUUGAAAGAUUUUGUUUUUAGUUUGAGGCUUAACCUCAAAGAAACAGAAUUAAUAGAAGAAGGAAAUGAUCCUGGGAGAUCCUCAAUGCAGUAAUGAAUUCAACAUUCUUCAAUCAAAUUUAAAAUUUAAUUAUAGCCUACUUACCUGUGGUGACCCUGGAUUCUGUACAACUGAUUUGUUGAUACAGAAGAGAGUCAUGCAAACUACAGAAAUCCACCCAAAACCGAGAGAAGGAGAGUAUCUGUUUUCAGAGGAGCUGUCUGCUUUGGGAGGAAGUUCCAGAAGUGAGCCUCAGGAAUUACAACAUUAAUUGAGAAACUGAAUGAUUAAAAUUGUAGUAACAAAUAGCUUUCCUUGGAACUG